AGCGAACGCUGGCGGCAGGCUUAACACAUGCAAGUCGAGCGGGCAUCUUCGGAUGUCAGCGGCAGACGGGUGAGUAACACGUGGGAACGUACCCUUCGGUUCGGAACAACUCUGGGAAACUGGAGCUAAUACCGGAUACGCCCUUAUGGGGAAAGGUUUACUGCCGAAGGAUCGGCCCGCGUCUGAUUAGCUAGUUGGUGGGGUAACGGCCUACCAAGGCGACGAUCAGUAGCUGGUCUGAGAGGAUGAUCAGACACACUGGGACUGAGACACGGCACAGACUCCUACGGGAGGCAGCAGUGGGGAAUAUUGGACAAUCGGCGCAAGCCUGAUCCAGCCAUGCCGCGUGAGUGAUGAAGGCAUUAGGGUUGUAAAGCUCUUUUGUCCGGGACGAUAAUGACGGUACCGGAAGAAUAAGCCCCGGCUAACUUCGUG
This 435-nucleotide ribosomal RNA is filed under the name uncultured bacterium. Its description in RNAcentral is "partial 16S ribosomal RNA". It matches the Rfam family "Bacterial small subunit ribosomal RNA", at positions 29 to 507 of the family's 1533-position model. The record is from RNAcentral.